AGCUGGGUAGCUCAGUUGGUUGGAGCAUGGUGCUGAUAACACCAAGGUUGCAGGCUUGAUCCAGCUGCAUAUUCCUGCAUUGCAGUGG
RNAcentral lists this transfer RNA (88 nucleotides) under Podarcis lilfordi (Lilford's wall lizard). RNAcentral's name for it is "tRNA.Ile". Lineage: Eukaryota; Metazoa; Chordata; Lepidosauria; Squamata; Lacertidae. The record is from RNAcentral.